This 479-nucleotide unclassified non-coding RNA is filed under the name Aspergillus jensenii. RNAcentral describes it as "sequence contains ITS1, 5.8S rRNA gene, ITS2". The stretch from base 120 to 273 matches the Rfam family "5.8S ribosomal RNA". Lineage: Eukaryota; Fungi; Ascomycota; Eurotiomycetes; Eurotiales; Aspergillaceae. The record is from RNAcentral.
CCGUGACUACCUAACACUGUUGCUUCGGCGGGGAGCCCUCUCGGGGGCGAGCCGCCGGGGACUACUGAACUUCAUGCCUGAGAGUGAUGCAGUCUGAGUCUGAAUAUAAAAUCAGUCAAAACUUUCAACAAUGGAUCUCUUGGUUCCGGCAUCGAUGAAGAACGCAGCGAACUGCGAUAAGUAAUGUGAAUUGCAGAAUUCAGUGAAUCAUCGAGUCUUUGAACGCACAUUGCGCCCCCUGGCAUUCCGGGGGGCAUGCCUGUCCGAGCGUCAUUGCUGCCCAUCAAGCCCGGCUUGUGUGUUGGGUCGUCGUCCCCCCCGGGGGACGGGCCCGAAAGGCAGCGGCGGCACCGUGUCCGGUCCUCGAGCGUAUGGGGCUUUGUCACCCGCUCGAUUAGGGCCGGCCGGGCGCCAGCCGACGUCUCCAACCAUUUUCUUCAGGUUGACCUCGGAUCUCGUAGGGAUACCCGCUGAACUUA